CAGAGUUUUAUAACUCCCAACCCUUUGUGAACUUACCUUUGUUGCCUCGGCGGGGCUUACCCGGUACCGAUCCCUUUUGGGAGAAGCUACCCUGUAACCCGCCGGUGGACAUUCCAACUCUUGUUAAUUUUAAUGUUAUCUGAGCGUCUUAUUUUAAUAAGUCA
Molecule: unclassified non-coding RNA, 164 nt
Filed under: uncultured Idriella
Lineage: Eukaryota; Fungi; Ascomycota; Sordariomycetes
Description: sequence contains ITS1
Source: RNAcentral